AAAGAAACCACAUCAAAAUGCACUUAAACAGCUCAAUCAAUCAAGUUUUUUGGUAUGAUGUUUUUCUAAUCAUCAAGUACGAAAACCACACCAUUCUUCUUGAUGAAGUCAUGAGUUGUGUGAUCAACCACGUUUGUAUUGUUCAGCUCCAGAUUGUAGAAAUCCAUCUUAUCAUCUGUAAAUAGUGGUCCAGCAUGCCAUGUACCAUGACUCAAUUUAAUAAACUUUGGACCUGAAAUUCUGAAAGCCUGCACUUCAUCAACAGCAGGAGGCACAUAAAAAUGCCCACAAUGUGACUUCACAACAAUAUCAACAGCACCCUUGGUAUCAGUUGGAUCUACAAUCGAUGGCUUAGCAACUCCAAGAUACCAAACAUUGCCUCCAAUUGAUCCAAGACAUUGAGUGACAUUGGCAUGAUGUGUUAUCUUAGAAAAUUUGAGCGAUCGAUCUUUAAGUUGCAUAAUGUAAAACCUAGGAAUCCCAUUGCUCAAAUCAAGCUGAGCAUCACGAGGACCGAAUUCUUCCCCAUCUGGAGACGCUUCAAUGACCUGUCCAAACUCUUUAAAAGUUUCUGCGGUUGCUUCUAUAGGUUUCAGCUUCACGACUGACGGCGACGUCGUGCUAACGCCGGAAGAUUCCAUUGAUACAGAAAAGGAACGACGGCGAGUAGGCAAUAUGGGAAGGGAAAAGUAGUGAAUGGAUUGAUGAGUAGAUUCUGUGAGUGAUUUCACCGGAAAGGAAUCGGAACUACUAUCGGCGAUCGGAGAUCCGGCGAGUCGGCGAUGUAGCCUGACGGAUGGCGAAUAUAUGAAAGGCUUCAAUUUUAGCAUCUUUGAGCAUCACUCUACAAAUUGGA
This 856-nucleotide unclassified non-coding RNA is filed under the name Hevea brasiliensis (rubber tree). The record is from RNAcentral. Lineage: Eukaryota; Viridiplantae; Streptophyta; Magnoliopsida; Malpighiales; Euphorbiaceae.